GACGAACGCUGGCGGCGUGCUUAACACAUGCAAGUCGAACGGAAAGGCCCUGCUUGCAGGGUACUCGAGAGGCGAACGGGUGAGUAACACGUGGGUGAUCUGCCCUGCACUUCGGGAUAAGCCUGGGAAACUGGGUCUAAUACCGGAUAGGAGCCAUUUUUAGUGUGAUGGUUGGAAAGUUUUUUCGGUGUAGGAUGAGCUCGCGGCCUAUCAGCUUGUUGGUGGGGUAAUGGCCUACCAAGGCGGCGACGGGUAGCCGGCCUGAGAGGGUGGACGGCCACAUUGGGACUGAGAUACGGCCCAGACUCCUACGGGAGGCAGCAGUGGGGAAUAUUGCACAAUGGGCGCAAGCCUGAUGCAGCGACGCCGCGUGGGGGAUGACGGCCUUCGGGUUGUAAACGCCUUUCGCUAGGGACGAAGCUUUUUGUGACGGUACCUAGAUAAGAAGCACCGGCUAACUACGUG
This 465-nucleotide ribosomal RNA is filed under the name uncultured bacterium. Its description in RNAcentral is "partial 16S ribosomal RNA". It matches the Rfam family "Bacterial small subunit ribosomal RNA", at positions 28 to 507 of the family's 1533-position model. The record is from RNAcentral.